GACUUUACCMAUGUCUUUUGAGUACCUUCGUUUCCUCGGCGGGUCCGCCCGCCGAUUGGACAACAUUCAAACCCUUUGCAGUUGCAAUCAGCGUCUGAAAAAACAUAAUAGUUACAACUUUCAACAACGGAUCUCUUGGUUCUGGCAUCGAUGAAGAACGCAGCGAAAUGCGAUAAGUAGUGUGAAUUGCAGAAUUCAGUGAAUCAUCGAAUCUUUGAACGCACAUUGCGCCCCUUGGUAUUCCAUGGGGCAUGCCUGUUCGAGCGUCAUUUGUACCUUCAAGCUCUGCUUGGUGUUGGGUGUUUGUCUCGCCUCUGCGUGUAGACUCGCCUUAAAACAAUUGGCAGCCGGCGUAUUGAUUUCGGAGCGCAGUACAUCUCGCGCUUUGCACUCAUAACGACGACGUCCAAAAGUACAUUUUUACACUCUUGACCUCGGAUCAGGUAGGGAUACCCGCUGAACUUAAGCAUAUCAAUAAGGYKGAGGAA
RNAcentral lists this ribosomal RNA (488 nucleotides) under Epicoccum nigrum. RNAcentral describes it as "eukaryotic LSU rRNA". Lineage: Eukaryota; Fungi; Ascomycota; Dothideomycetes; Pleosporales; Didymellaceae. The record is from RNAcentral.